Camelus dromedarius (Arabian camel) is the source of this 9971-nucleotide long non-coding RNA. RefSeq lists it as uncharacterized. The transcript is spliced from 4 exons. The record is from RefSeq and is a predicted model, not a curated record. NCBI's taxonomy places the organism in Eukaryota, Metazoa, Chordata, Mammalia, Artiodactyla, Camelidae.
CCGAGGCUCGGAAGGGAGCGAGUUAAAUAAGGCCUCCGAGGUCACGUGUCCUGUGUCGCGUGGAGAGUAAGUGGGAAGCUUGCCCGCCUGGUUUUAUUGCUCUUUGCAGAUAUUGUGGGGUUCUUGUUUGUUUGUUUUGUUUUGUUUAGACAAAUUGGAGAUUUGUAGCACCCCUGCGUUGAGCAAGUCUGUCGGCGCCAUUUUUCAAACAGCCUUUGUUCAUUUCAUGUUUCUGUGUCCUAUUUUGGUCAUUCUCACAAUAUUUCAAACUCUUUCAUUGUAAUUAUAUUUAUUAUGGUGAUCUGCAAUCCGUGGUCUUUGAUGUUACUGUUGUAAUUGGGCAUAUUUUAGCAAUAAAACAUUUUUAGUUAAGAUAUGUACAUUGUUGUUUUAGACAUAAUGCUUGUUGCACACUUAGUAGACAACACGAUGGUGCAGACAACUUUUAUGUGCACUAGGAAAUCAAAAAUUUUGUGUGACUUGCUUUAUUGUGAUAUUUGCUUUUAUAUGGCAGUCUAAAACCAAACUCGCAAUGUCUCCGAGGUGUACCUGCAUUCAGACCUGGGCAGAGCUCCCACCCACGGGCCAUACAGAUCAGUGGAUUUGGUAAUAGUGAUGACCUCCCCCACCUACUGCCACCUUUAAGGCUUGGCCACUCUGAUAUUUUGAAAACCAAGCCAAAGCAUUCCGUAGCUUUAGGGACUAAAUGGCCUGGACCCUGGUAUCUAGCCACACUUGGGUCUGGAGCCCUAGGCUGUGGCAUGAGAGCUGCAGACACAGCUCUGACCCAAGCACCAAAAGACAACCAAGUCACAGGUUAUUCAGCGCUGUGCCCAAGGCCACACACGAGGCCAGGGUCACCUUUCCCCCACUGAAAGGUGACUCAGCCCCCAGCUGCACCACGGAACUGGGUCUGGGGGUUGACUGUAGAGGUGUCAGUAGUUAGAACUGUGGACUGGAUCAAAGAGAUGGAGAAAUGGAUGGAAGAUGACAGAUGGAAAGAAGGAAGGAUGGAAGAAGGGGAAGGAAGAGGAAGAAAAAAAAGAUAGAUUAAUGGAUAUAUCUCAGUUCAUAUUAAAAAAUCCCUUCUCUGCACUGACCCAGUGGUACCAGGUACCAGGGACGGGAAGAUGGCGGACCCAGUGCCCUGUACCCAGGGAGCUCACGUCUAGAGCAGGGUGUUUUAACCUUCUGUGUCCUGGACCCCUUUGGCAUCUGGCAAACCCUAUGGCCCCCUUCUCUGAAUAAUAUUUUUAAAUGCAAAAAAAAAAAAAAGGCAUAAGGGUGACAAAGGAAAGCAGUUAUAUUGAGAUACAGCUACCAAAUACAUAUAAAAAUGACAAAUUUGUGGCGUAAUAACACAUUUGCAUCUUUAUUAAGACGUUAAGUAACUAGAUUUGGCGGCAGGUCUAAUAACUACCAUAAUUUUGGAGCAGUGACAAGUGUGAAUAAUAUUUUGAGACAUCUGCUACCACAGCAGUGCAGUAGGAAAAUGUUUGUAAUUUCUAUUAGACUCCGAGCCUCGGGUCUUACUCAUAACGUAAGUGUGGUGCCUACGUUCAUAACUGAAGGACAUGCUAAGUUUCAGUUAGAGCUAGCGAAAAUAAUUAUGAAAAUCAAUGUGUACAUAUUUAAGACCCCCGGAAUUCUCUCCACAGAUCGCCCAAGUCCAUGGACACGUGGACAGGGACCCCUGGGCCAGAUGGAGAGAUGAGUCAUUGCCUACUCAUGUUACUCAGUGAGUUGGUGAACAGGGUCACCAAUAUUAUUUAAAUGAGUUGUCUUGCUGUCUCCCUCUCUCUGUCCUUUUGGGUUUUUUCUGACCAUUUAUAGUUGAAAUUGUAAAAGAAAUGGCCUUUUGCUAUUUCUCCCUUGUGGAAUGUUCUCAGGUCUAUGAUAAUGGAGGAGCACCCAGUCCAACCCAGGACACUCCUGGAAGGCUCCCUGGAGGAGUCGUUGCCCACACCAGGUCCUCAAGGGUGAGAGAGAGUAGGUCAGGAUACUCAGGGACGAGGGGGCACACAGGCCAUUUCCAACAGAGGGAACAGAGAUGAAAUGAUGGGUUCUAUCAGGAAAUCACAAAAAAAUGUGGCAUUAAUAGUAAGUAGGGAGAGGAGCAGAGAAUGGCAAGAGAUGGGCCUGAUGAGGGAGGCACAGGCCCAGAUAAUGUAGACCAUUCAGGGAGCUUGAGAUUUAUCGGGUAGGCAAUGGGGAGCCACUGAAGGUGUUUGAGCAGGAGAAUAACAUGGUCUAAGACCAGCGUAGGAAGACCAUUCUGGCUGCUGCUUGGGGAACAGAUUGGAAAGUUGAGCCUGGAGGCAGAGGGAUUAGAAAAGGGGUGUUCAGUCCAGGGGAGCUCUGAUGAAGGCCAUGACUGGUGCAGGGACAGUGGGAGAGGAGAGAAGGGGACACAUUUGAGGGCCAUUCGUAUGUUGAGUGAAUGGGGCAGGAUUUUGAACAGUUGGGGUGGAGAGGGAAGGCACAGAAAAAAUUGAGGUAAGAAUGUGUAAAUAAAGAACCAGUUUGGAGGGAAGAUGAAAUCCUUCACUGCACACGAGUUUGUAUAGUAUCUUGGGAGACUGACAAGGAGAUUGGCAAGGAGCAGGUGGCGCGGAGAAGAUCUUCAGGAGCCUCCCAUACCUGUUUGCCCAGAAGACCAAGCCUUGGGAGGGGACCUUCCCUGGACUUAGCAACAUGGAAUCUCGCACCCAGGACCAGCUUUGGGUGGAACUGCAGUGUCGCACGUUUAAUGCAGGCCUCCAUCUCCCAGGAAUGAACGGAGGCAAAGAGGAGUGAGAACUGAACCACUUUUUAAAAGAAAAACCUGCACUUUGCAGGGAUUUAUAUGCCUUUCUGGGGCUGAAUAAUAAAUUUUUUUACAGCUACAGCUGGAGUUAUAUAUGACCUUAUAAAAUGCCAUGAUAGCAUCUAACGAAUAUCGUAUUGCGGAAUAUAUAUGACUUUCUUUUCCAAGGGCUUUUUAAAGCAUCUGGCUUGUGCAGGCAGGAAAGCCUCACUGCACUUCAUCCGGGAGGACAGACAAGCAUCUUCUCUGGAACUGCUUGUCGCUGUCAAGGUUUCCAGGCCCUGAGGAGGCAGCCCCUGGCAGGGUGGGGGGCUGGCCUGGCACACAUGCAGAAGCCCUCGUGUUUGGGGGAUGUUGGCUCACCUGGAUCAAAGGUCAGCUGGCUCUUCUCCGUGGAAUUCAGCCUGGCUAGACUGGCCCUGACUGAUUUAGAAGUUGGCCUUUUACAGGGUAUGAGUGUCUCUUUGAUGGCCCUGGGAGAAUUCACACACACACACACACACACACACACACACACACACACACACACACACACACUCUCUCUCUCUCUCUCCCUCCCUCUCCCUCUCUCUCUCUCCCUCCUUCCCUCUCUCUCUGUUGGGGAGUUUCAGUGUCAGCAUCAUCUUAUUGGCCUUUGACUGCCCACCUCUUUUACUCCUUGCCCCUCCCCUUCCCCUGACCUUGCACAUCUGCUUCAGAAUUCACCAUCCUCCAGAAAAUAGGAUUUCCCUCCCACCGCCAGAAAAGUGCAAUUAAACACCAGUAUUGGGAAACACUAGGGAGUGGCAGUGGGGACCUAGGUUAAUUGUUUUCUGGUUAACUGAGAGUUACAGAACACUAUUGUUUCAGUCCUGGCUUUGAAAAUAUUUCCAAACUAUAUCAGUCUGUAUAUCACUGUACUCCCAGUGUAUGAAAUCCACUGCAGGUAACUGAAUCUGUUUGUGGUGAUUUAAUUACGCAGGGGUCGGGUUCCUCUCUGCAUCACAUGCCCCGUGCUUCAUCCGCGUCCACCUCUGCACCUUUCUCCAGCCUGUGUGCCCCACCUCCCCCGACUCCUACACGAAGUCUUCCCAACCAGCCCGGCAAAGCCCAGCUUUCGAGUUCUGAUGACAGCCUUUUUCAAAGUGAACUGGCGGAGCACGACAUCAUUUUCAGUAGUGCACGAAUACAUUUUAAAGAAAUUAAUUGCUAUCCAUUUAUGUUUCUAGUUACACUCUGAUGAUGACAAAAAUUAUACUUGUUUUCCCUCCAGUUUAUGGGUAACAUUUCCUUUUAAAAUUAGUUCAUUAAAGAAAAAGAUAGAUAAGCUGAUUUCAAGAGCCUUGGUAAGUAAACAAGAGACGCUGUGUGGAUAGGUCAAAAUCGAAACAGUUAGCAAAUGAAUGAUUAAAAUUUGGGAGAGGUGACUAUUCCUUGCUGUCCUCUUCCUCCUAAAUUCCCAGUGCAGCGGGUGGGUAAUUCAUUCAUUUUUCUGAUCUCAGCUUUCUCAUCAUGAUACCUGUUCUUAUUUAGAUGAUGACCGCCCCUUGUUCCAGGUGGCCAGCAGCUGGAUUUUGUUGGCUUCGUAAUUAAUUGAUCUUUUUGCUUGUGGGAUUUGUCGCUGUCCCUGAGGAACAGCAAAGCAGGCUCCUUUGGGGAAGGUUUUUGUAGACACCACUAAACUCUACACAUUCCUGAGUGGUCAGUAGGAAAAGGCCUUUCUAGAGAAGGAUUUACUUUUUGGCGGCAGGGUGGGGGGGCUCUAAAGUAUGUUUAUUUAAGUGAAAGAUGGGGCCGAUCCUCGCGAAUUCUGAGUCUGAGAAAGAGGCCAGUGGCAGGAUGGAGGCCAUAGUAGGCAGGGUCUGCUGCACCCGCCUUUCUGCUCGGAAGGGCCUGGCUGUAGAGAGAGGCCUUGGAAGCCCCGACUCAGUUCAGCUUGUCAGUGCUGAUGCACCUGGUAGGAGGAGACACUCAGCAAGCGAUUGUGGACUGAUGAUCGACUUAUUAUAAACACCCAGAACCAGCAUCCUCAGCAGUCGCUUGAGAUGUUAGCCGUACUGUCCUGGGUGGUGGCCACCAGCCACGUGGGGCUGCCUGGCACUUGACGCGCAGCUGGUUCAAGCUGGGCUGUGCUCUCGCCAGACCUAUUACGAAAGAGGUACCCCACUGGUACUUUUUCAUCUUGAUUCUGUGAUGAGAUGAUAAUAUUUUGGAUACAUUAGGUUAAAUAAAGUAUUCAAAUCAAUCCCAUUUCAUUCUCCUUUUCCAGUUAAAUUUCAAGCUACAUCUGUGGCUCACUCGAUGACAAGGGAGACUGGGCUAGAUCAGAGUCGAACCUUGGAACACAGUUUUUCUUUUUAAAUUGCAGUGUUCUCAGUUCCUAAGCUUGGGGUCUCCUGAGAGGAAACAAAAAGAGAUUUCAGUUAAUUGCUGGUUCUGGUUAGUUGAGUUCAGCUAAUCAGGGCUUCGCCUCUAAUUGCAUCCACUGUCCCCUCUCCCCGGGGGGCGCUGCACGCCGCUCUUGUUACUGAUUGCUCACGAUUUCUCCGUGGCCCCUGCCUGGGCUCCACGCAGAAAGGUGUAGGUUGCAAAGUUCAGAGGUCCUGCCCGCAGACACGUGGUAGGAUGACACAGAGUGCUGGAAGAAGAAUGACCACUGGGUGAUGUCAGUGGCCAGUCUGUGGAUGAAUUGAGAUUCGAUUAUCUGAAUGCCAGAGCCCUCGGUUCCUUCUCUUCAUGCACCUGCGAGAAGGCACUUAGCAAGAUGACCUCUUGAGGGGGACUUGGCAACAAUACAUUCUGCGAGUGUCUUAGCAGGCCGCCCUUUCUCAGGAAGCGAUGCAGGGUGUGAGGCAAGGGUUCCCAUCCCAGGGACCUGAGGAUGGCUGAGCACACGGCACCCAGGGCCGACAGAUGAGACAGGCAGCAGCUCGUUAGACCCAGGGAGGGGCGUGUCACGUGACACGAUGGGCCACACAGGGGGCGCACCGGAGAACAGAGUGACCGUGCAGGGGCUACGGGAGGCAGACUUUGUAGUACCAAGAGGGCGAGGUGACCACUGGUUCCCACAAGAGGAAGUGAUUGUCUUGUUUGAAUAAUUCCAAGGGCUGAUAGGGAGCUGAAGCAGGGAUAAGCAGGAACUGGGCCUGGUCCCUGUAGUAAGGGGGGCCGCUUGGCUAGGGGGCCUUAUCCAGGGGAGUAGAGUGGGUAGGGUAGUGACAUUCAGGCCGUUUGAGUCCCUCCUGGUUUCCCCCAGGUGUCACGGCAGCACAAAAUAUCAAUGUUAGCCCUUAUGCCACAGCGUGGUGGGGAAACUGGGUGGUGGAGCCAUCACGCCUGAGUUUGAAUUUUGCCUGGGUUAUUUAUUAGCAGUUCAGCCUGUAGAUCCUCAAUAUGCCCAUCAGUAGAAUGGGGAUGUUAACAUUUACCACACGUGUGUGUGUCUGCCUGUCUAGCUAUCUACCCCCCCCACACACACACACACACUUCUCCUUUCCGGAAGGGUGGUUUAAUCCCCCCACCACCUUUAAACAACAACAACAUAACCACAACCAAAUCAAGAACAGCAUUUAAUGAAAAACAGAUGCGUCAGUUGAGCAAACUGAGUUCUUCCAGCCAAAGGCUACAUCUGGGCCUCCGUGGACUCUUUCCGCGGACUUACCGAGGAUUUGGUUUUGCACGGCCAGCGGCAGACAUUGGCUCAUUCUGUUUCGGGGCCAAGGAGCCAGGCUGUUAGUUUAUGUAACGCUAAGAGGACACAGCCUCCACCCUCAUUUAGACACGGGUGUCCAAGUUCCAAGGGCUUUCCUUGGCUUUCCUUAGUGCAGGCAGCUGCCUGGGAGCCAGGCGCCCCACAGCGCGAUGGCUCUGAGAGGGCCGCGUGUGCUGCAGCCUGAGUCGCCCCUUCCUCCACCGGAGGCAGGAUGUUACCUUCUUGGCUUAGCGGUGGCCUUGCCCGUGAAGGAGCCUGAGGGACUGGCUGGGACCUGGUUGAGCAUAGUCGCCCCCUUCAUGCUGAACAGUGGGGCAACUGUUGGCUUUUUCCUUCCAGAUACAUGCACUGUCUUUCCUCAAAGACAGAACCUCAUCCUGGCAGUUCAAGUUCAAGGGACCGUCCUCAAGCUUCCAUAGCUGCUUCAGGUUCGUCUGCUAUGUGUGUUGGAGACUGUGCUCCUCAUUGCUCCCCUAACCCCGACCUUGGUGGGGUCGUUCUCUGUGGAAACCCCAGCCUUGGUCACCUCCUGGGAUCCUGGAGACGCGGCUGUGCUGAACAGCUCGGGACUGCCCUGGUAUGGUUCUUUGAGCAGUGUGGGUGAUGGUGUUCUGGAAUCCAGCAAACAGCCAGCAAAAUUUCAUAAUCCCAGGCCUGGAUCAACCCUCUUUUUGUCUCCUUCUGGGGAACAAAUGGAGAGUUGCGUGGACCUUGGUUAGCCCAGCCCAGCGAUUGGCUGUUUGCAAUUAAUCUGUUUACAUGCAUGAGUGUUUUGUUCAUCAACAGACAGUUCUUCAGUGAGCACAUGCUUUGUGUCAGAUAUAGUUCCUGCCCACGUGGAGCUCACAGCCAUGUGUGUGUGUGUGUGUGUGUGUUGACCUGUCACUAACAAAGCAGUGACAUUGAUGGAACACUCUCUGCACGUCAGGCAGUGGGGCUGAGAAUACCGUUCUCUGCUAAUCCUCACAACCACAUUCUACAUAGAUUGAAGGAACACUUAGUAUGUGCGAGGCGCUAUACUAAACUUAUCAUUUAGAGGUAGAACCUUCUAGAACCUAUCCUCUUAUUAACCCCAUUCCACAAAUGCAGAGACCCAAACUGAGCAGUCCAGUGCCUCACCUGGGGUUAUACGUCCAGAAAGUGGCCGGGCUGGUACCCAUACGUCGUGCCCCUAAUCACAAAGGUCAACUGCCUCUUCUGUAUCCAAGGGUAUCUCAGUGGGAGUGUCUACAAAUUCACGUGUGUCCAUGUUUGUGUGAGCAGCAGACCCAAAGCCAGGAGUUGCUGGUUUUAAGAGUGUGCUUUACCCCUUUGGCUACAAUACCUACUUCCGUGAGUCUUGGUUUCCUUAUUACUAAAGCAGUUGAUGGUGUCUAUCAGCCUUUUGGGAUAUGAGCACGAGGAGGGUUUGAGGCAAUGAGAUGAUGUUCAAGAAAGGCCAUUGUCUGAAAAGAACCAUGUGGAUUAAGAACCAAGAAAAGAAUCAUACAGAUGGCAAGAGUAACUACUGGGCGAAGAGAGUUAAUUUUUAUCGGUUCUCUACUAAGUUUUCCAUUUGAUGCUCAUCGUAACCCAUAAGAGUGGGUAUGUAUUAUUACCCCCGUAUUAUGAAAGAGGGAAACGGAGUCUCAGGGUAACACAGUGGUGGAGACCAGGUUUGGAUCCAGGUCUGGCCCAAUCCAGGGCCCGUGUCCUUUGUUCUAGACCAGUGGUUGGUAAACCAGGGCUCAUGGGCCAAGUUCCUAGCCAGCUGUCUGCUUUUGUCAGUGGCCUUUUAUUAGGAACACAGCCACACCCAUUCCUUGCAGACUGUCUGUGUCUGCUCUGAGCUCUAACAGCAGAGCUGAGCCCCUGUGACAGAGACCACAUGACCUCCAAAGCUGAAAGUCUUUGCUCUCUGAGCCUCUACUGAAACAGUUUGCAAACUCUUGUUCUAGACUUUGAGAAUGACUUUUUAAAGUGGGUUGAAGAAUAUGAAAACGAAUAUAUGUAUGUAUAUGCAUGACUGGGACAUUGUGCUGUACACCAGAAAUUGACACAUUGUAACUGACUGUACUUCAAUAAAAAAAAGUGGGUCAAAAGAAAUGCUACAAAAUGUGAACAUGCACACAUACUGUGUAUAUUACGUGUGUACGGCAAAACUUCAGCCAUCUGGAGCCUCUGGGAGAUAAGACAAUCCUAAUUUUCUCAAGAGUUAAGUUCUACUCGUAAGGAAUAUUUCUAAAUUAUAUCACCCAUUUUCCUACCUUCUGAAGCAGAGUGUGCUGGGCAUGUGUUUUAACUUUCUGCGAAGAAAUCUCACCAUCAUUUCAAGCACUAGGUUUCAGAUUCUAUUAAAAGCACCGAGGACUCUCGAUGGCAUCAGGAAUGCUGUAGCUCUUCACUCAAUGGCCCCAGAGUCUUUUUUUUCCUCAAAUCUUUCUGUCUGCUUUUUGAUCAUUUCUCCUGCUCUUACAUUUCUUGCCCGCUAUUAUUUCUCACCGCUUUCAGUGUGGCUGAUUGUAACCCUCAGCGGGCUCUGCUUCUCAGACUCCAGGAAGCAUCAGACUCAUUAGAAAUGUACACAGAGUAAGUAGCUUGUGGCGGUGAACCUGAAGCACCCGUGCCUCCGUCCUGUCCGUGGCUGUCCUGGAGAGCAGAGGUCCGUGGAAGCAUUGGUUUCCUUCUGUUGUCCAAAGGCAGGAAGUGGACCAAGUUUCCCUCCCCACGAUGGCCCUGUUGUCCCAGGGUUCAGACCAAGAUAGCCGAGGAAACCACAAGCCCUGGAAACAGAUGAAGGAUGAGGAGGGGACAGCGGGCGGCCCCCGGCCAGUAGAGGAGGGGCUGCUGCGCAGUGGUUUUUAGGAACCAGGAUGAUCAACUUUUCACAAUGUGAAAAAUCCUAAUGGGAAUACUGCCUUCUGGAAAGCAAAGUGACCUGCCUGGAACAAGAAGGCAGCGGGAGACCUGCGGAGACCCUGAAGGUCCCCAGAAACUGAAGACUCAAGAACUUCUUGGGGACGGGUCCCCUGCAGAGAGAAGGCAGCCUGCCUGUCUUCGGACUCUCGGUACAGCUAGCAUCUCACACACUGUAGAGUUCACAGAAAGAGCCACCUAGUGGCCUGAACAACUGUGGUCCAUCGGGUCUCCCAGAACCACCUUCUGCUGGGUCGUCUGAGGAUAACGGGGAGCUCCUUUGUCUGAGUCCAGCCAGACUUCGGAAGUCAGGGCACACUGGCCAGAAAAGGUCCACUCAGCAGCCCCUUGAAUAAGGAACUUGUCCAAUAGCAAACCAUCUGUUCAACCUGGACGGAACAUGGUCUUGGGGAGGGGUGUCUCUACGCAGCACAGGAAGGGCAAGAGGAGACAGGAACAGCCCUUUCACAUGCUCCCUGGGCACCCAGCCUCUCUUCAGUACCUCGUUCCCCUUUCCAACUCUCUGGGGCUGCACAGGCCUGGCUCUUCAACCUGCUUGGAGAACCUCUUCUAGCCUCA